Molecule: long non-coding RNA, 1262 nt
Organism: Oryza sativa Japonica Group (Japanese rice)
Lineage: Eukaryota; Viridiplantae; Streptophyta; Magnoliopsida; Poales; Poaceae
Source: RefSeq, a predicted model, not a curated record
ACUAGAAGUUUAGGGGUUGUUUUUGCAACCCUCACCCCUUUCCCCAAACCCUAGCCGCCACCAUUCCUCUGCCUCCUCUCCUCUCGCUCCGCUCUCUCUCCUGCCCAAGCGACGGCCGCCGCCGCGUGCCGUCCCCUCAUCCUCUUCUUCCCGCAGUUGGCGACCUCCCCCGCGCACUCCCUACUGCGAGCUGUUGCUGUCGCCGCGCCGUCGUCCUGCCAUCGCCAUCCUCUCGCUCCCGCGCCGCAUCCGCCAACGAGGAGGCCGGGACUGUCGGAUCCGGUGACUCCGGCCUCCUCGCCGGCAGAUCCGGCCGCCCUGAAGUGAGGGGAAGCCAGGAGCCGCCUUCUACUCUUCUACCUCUAUGCCCGGCACUGCCCCUCUCUCCCUCUCCCUCUCCCUCUCCAUCCUGUUCAUUUCCGGAUCAGCGGAUGCCUGCGAUUAGGCGGCCACGGACGUGCGUGUGGGACGUCGAGGAGACGGGGAAUCACUGGAUCCAGGAGGUCGGUGAACCGAUUUGGAGAGGGAGCUGCAUGAUCUGUGGCAUUGGUGUACCGUUUCGGACAGCGGCGGUCUCCAGUACGGCGGGUGCUGCUGGAUCUGCCGCAUGGAGGGCUCCUCGUCAGCUCCGUCCUACCUCUUCUUCUGCCUUUUUGGAAGGAGGUGAGGAGAGGAAAGUUUCCUCUGGAAUUUCAUACUGCAUGUUAUAUCUUUGCCAAGUUGGUGGUCUUAGUGUGAUACUGUGAUUAAUUUGGACCGAUGAAGAUAUGUGUAUUGAAUUUUUCUUUGCAAGUUUAAAUCAGUGUAACACUAUGAAUGUGAGCGUGUGAAUGCAGCUUGUAGUGAAGCUUUGUUGAGCUUACGCAAAGCAGAGAAGGGCAUCGGCGCGGGGCUCCUAGAGGAUGCUGCCACCUCCAUCCCCUUGCGUCACGGCCGUGCUGCCCUACUGGUCCUCUGGCACAGCAUCUAAGGUCAUCUGCCACCACAACCAGGUUGCAUCUCCACCGAAUGUGACCCCACUUUGAUGGCGGCGAGCUUUGCUUUGAUGUUAUGUGGGGCAUUCAGUAUCAGCGCCGGAACCGACGCCAACAGCCAGAGCAGGCGCCGUGAUGUUGGAUCAAGUUGUUAGGAUUAGUUUCAGUGAUUAAGUUUGUUAGGAAGAUUAAGUUGUUAGUUCCUGGUUAGUAGCUGUUUGGUUUUCCAUUGUAAGCCUAUAUAGGCCAUUCGGUUUAAGUGAUUAAUCAAGAAAGAAGUUAAUCCCA